CUUCCCUGAAAACCAGCCUCCCAUGUUCUGCUUGUGUAAUUUUCUUCUUCCUUGCCUACAGGGAGUCAACCUUCUGGUUUCUAAUCAGUGAAGACCUACCCCUGAUCAGAAGGUCGAAGUACUUUCUCUAUGGCAGGCUGCAGGAACUCAAGCCAAGUGAAAGAGCACAGCUUUCCCUUUGCCUGCCUGCCAGAUUUCUGAAAUGCAGAAAGCAUGCUCAAGGAGCUUCCAAGCAAAAAAGUACAGCUUUGCUUCCAAGCACCCUCCCCAGGAAACGCAGGUGAG
Molecule: long non-coding RNA, 285 nt
Filed under: Mustela putorius furo (domestic ferret)
Lineage: Eukaryota; Metazoa; Chordata; Mammalia; Carnivora; Mustelidae
Description: lncRNA (ENSMPUG00000026603.1)
Source: RNAcentral